AACGAACGCUGGCGGCAGGUCUAACACAUGCAAGUCGAACGGUUCCUUCGGGAAUAGUGGCGCACGGGUGAGUAACGCGUGGGAAUAUACCCUUGACUGCGGAAUAAUAUCUGGAAACGGAUACUAAUACCGCAUAAUGACUCCGGUCCAAAGAUUUAUCGGUCAAGGAUUAGCCCGCGUAUGAUUAGCUAGUUGGUGAGGUAACGGCUCACCAAGGCGAUGAUCAAUAGGGGGUCUGAGAGGAUGAUCCCCCACACUGGUACUGAGACACGGACCAGACUCCUACGGGAGGCAGCAGUGAAGAAUAUUGGACAAUGGAGGAAACUCUGAUCCAGCCAUGCCGCGUGUGUGAAGAAGGCCUUAGGGUUGUAAAGCACUUUCAAUUGUGAAGAUAAUGACGGUAACAAUAGAAGAAGCCCCGGCUAAAUUCG
RNAcentral lists this ribosomal RNA (431 nucleotides) under uncultured Alphaproteobacteria bacterium. RNAcentral describes it as "bacterial SSU rRNA". It matches the Rfam family "Bacterial small subunit ribosomal RNA", at positions 29 to 505 of the family's 1533-position model. Lineage: Bacteria; Pseudomonadati; Pseudomonadota; Alphaproteobacteria. The record is from RNAcentral.